AAAUGGCCGGGGCGGGAGGUCCCCACAGUGCUAACUCUCCGUGUAAUUUGUCUAGAAGUUUAGAUAGAAUACUUGUAGAUGCUCAGGCAACAUGUGAAUUAAAACUAAGUGGUCGAAAGUUAAAGGAAUACCCGAAAGGUGCUUCGAAAUACAACCUAAGUGAUACGGUCUUAGCAGGUAUGUUGGAGUUGCAGCUGUGUUGAGACUCGGAGGCGCAGGUUCGUGUAGUGUCAUGGAAAUGGACUAACUGGCUACCUCGUGUUAUCUUGGUGUUAUCGUGAGGAUCUUUUAUGAUAAUGAUGCAUUGUUGGUCACUUUUGUUUUUAUUCUUGUGAGGACGGGAUUAGGGAAGUGGUUAAAAUGAAAGGAAGGGGGGGGGGUGGUAGGAGAAGGAACGACGGAGGAAGGAAAAGGAGGAGGAGGAGGAGGAGAAGAAAAAACGAAAAGGAGAUUAACUGGAUUUCUUUAAAAAUAAGGAGGAUAAAAAUGAAUAAGAAUGAGAAGAGGAAGACCUGAAAGGGAAGGAGAAAGAAAAGAUGAGGGCGACCGAAAGAAAUAAGGUAAGAAAGUCCAAAAAGCUGAAGGGAGAAAAGAAAACGAGGAAUACAAAAGAAGGGAGGAAAGGGAGGAGGAAAUAGAUAAACGAAUGAAGAAAUGGAUAAAGCUAAAGAAGUCAGGUAGGAAAAAGGAAAAAAGUAGAAAAGAAAAAGCAGAGAACAAAUAAUAAAGAGAAGGGAAACAGAGCAAAGUAGAUGACAAAUAAUAAGGAGAAGAAGAAAAUAAUAAUAGGA
This 791-nucleotide unclassified non-coding RNA is filed under the name Penaeus monodon (black tiger shrimp). RNAcentral's name for it is "dISP complex protein LRCH3-like, transcript variant X2". The record is from RNAcentral. Lineage: Eukaryota; Metazoa; Arthropoda; Malacostraca; Decapoda; Penaeidae.